Molecule: transfer RNA, 74 nt
Filed under: Chloroflexota bacterium
Lineage: Bacteria; Bacillati; Chloroflexota
Description: Chloroflexi bacterium (anaerobic digester metagenome) tRNA-Arg
Rfam family: tRNA
About the family: Transfer RNA (tRNA) molecules are approximately 80 nucleotides in length. Their secondary structure includes four short double-helical elements and three loops (D, anti-codon, and T loops).
Source: RNAcentral
GCCCCGGUAGCUCAGAUGGAUAGAGCAACUGCCUUCUAAGCAGUGGGUCCCGGGUUCGAGUCCUGGCCGGGGCA